RNAcentral lists this ribosomal RNA (392 nucleotides) under Aplanochytrium sp. RNAcentral's name for it is "partial small subunit ribosomal RNA". It matches the Rfam family "Eukaryotic small subunit ribosomal RNA", at positions 582 to 975 of the family's 1831-position model. Lineage: Eukaryota; Bigyra; Thraustochytrida; Thraustochytriidae. The record is from RNAcentral.
AUUCCAGCUCCAAUAGCGUAUAUUAAAGUUGUUGCAGUUAAAAAGCUCGUAGUUGGAUUUCUGGUAGGAGCGACCGUGCCGAACUUGAUUGUUCGAGUAUUGUGUUGUCUUCAGCCAUCCUCGUGGAGAACUUUUCUAACAUUAACUUGUUGGGAUUGGGACCCGCGUCGUUUACUGUGAAAAAAUUAGAGUGUUUAAAGCAGGCAUUAGCUUGAAUACAUUAGCAUGGAAUAAUAAGAUAGGACUUUGGUACUAUUUUGUUGGUUUGCAUACCAAAUUAAUGAUCAACAGGAACGGUUUGAGGAUAUUCGUAUGAACAUGUCAGAGGUGAAAUUCUUGGAUUUUGAUCAGACGAACUACUGCGAAAGCAUUUAUCAAGGAUGUUUUCAUUG